This 821-nucleotide ribosomal RNA is filed under the name Rhodocollybia laulaha. RNAcentral describes it as "eukaryotic LSU rRNA". It matches the Rfam family "Eukaryotic large subunit ribosomal RNA", at positions 66 to 864 of the family's 3401-position model. Lineage: Eukaryota; Fungi; Basidiomycota; Agaricomycetes; Agaricales; Omphalotaceae. The record is from RNAcentral.
UAACAAGGAUUCCCCUAGUAACUGCGAGUGAAGAGGGAAAAGCUCAAAUUUAAAAUCUGGCAGUCUUUUGAUUGUCCGAGUUGUAAUUUAGAGAAGUGCUACCCGUGUUGGCCCGUGUAUAAGUUUCCUGGAAUGGAACCUCAUAGAGGGUGAGAAUCCCGUCUUUGACACGGACUACCAAUGCUUUUGUUGGUGUGCUCUCGAAGAGUCGAGUUGUUUGGGAAUGCAGCUCUAAAUGGGUGGUAAAUUCCAUCUAAAGCUAAAUAUUGGGGAGAGACCGAUAGCGAACAAGUACCGUGAGGGAAAGAUGAAAAGAACUUUGGAAAGAGAGUUAAACAGUACGUGAAAUUGCUGAAAGGGAAACGCUUGAAGUCAGUCGCAUUACUUGGGGAUCAGCCUGCCUUCGUUGGUUGGUGUACUUCCUGAUUAAUGGGUCAGCAUCAGUUUUGACCGGUGGAUAAGAGCUUGAGGAAUGUGGCAUCUCCGGGUGUGUUAUAGCCUCUUGUUGUAUACAUCGGUUGGGACUGAGGAACUCAGCACGCCGCAAGGCCGGGUUGUUUACAAUCACGUACGUGCUUAGGAUGCUGGCAUAAUGGCUUUAAUCGACCCGUCUUGAAACACGGACCAAGGAGUCUAACAUGCCUGCGAGUGUUUGGGUGGAAAACCCGAGCGCAUAAUGAAAGUGAAAGUUAGGAUCUCUGUUAGUGGAGAGCACUGACACCCGGCCCAGACCUUUUGUGACGGUGCCGCGGUUGAGCAUGUAUGUUGGGACCCGAAAGAUGGUGAACUAUGCCUGAAUAGGGUGAAGCCAGAGGAAACUC